This is a non-coding RNA of Rattus norvegicus (Norway rat), 645 nucleotides long. NCBI's taxonomy places the organism in Eukaryota, Metazoa, Chordata, Mammalia, Rodentia, Muridae. The record is from RefSeq and is a predicted model, not a curated record.
GGGGGAGGGAGAGUCAGUUUAAUGUAGGCUCUGCUGGGUCAAUCACAUCGUGGUGUAUUGCCUCAUACCCAUGAGUAUAUACCGGCAGCACACGAAUGAGAAUCUGUGGAUUACUUAAAAAAUAAAAAAAGGACAAGGUCUGAUAAAUGCUGUGAAGAAAUGCAACACGAGUAAUGGAGCUGGUGCAGCUCUGAUCAGUGAUUGAGGAGGACCUCUGAAAGAGGCUGCUGUCUAAGCAGAGACCAGAUGAAAUGAGUGGACAAGUCAUGGAGCCGUGUGGUCAAGAGUGCUACAGUCAGAAGAAACAUCGAGUUCAGUGCUCUGAGCAGCUAGUGUGCUUGACCUCACAGAACUUCCUAAAACCCAGGAUGUGAUGGUUUGCAUAUGCUGGGCCCAGGGAGUGGCACUACUAGAAGGUGUGGCCUUGUUGGAGGAAGUGUGUCACUGUGAGAUGGGCUUGGAGACCCUCCUCCUAGCUGCCUGAGGAUGCUUUGUCUGUUCCUGGCUUUCUUCCGGUGAAGAUGUAGAACUCAGCUCCUCCUGCACCAUGCCUGCCUGGACGCUGCCGUACUCCUGCCUUGAUAAUAAUGGACUGAACCUCUGAAUCUGUAAGCCAGCCCCAAUUAAAUGUUGUCCUUUAUAAAA